This 937-nucleotide ribosomal RNA is filed under the name Pseudomonas sp. TC1. RNAcentral's name for it is "bacterial SSU rRNA". It matches the Rfam family "Bacterial small subunit ribosomal RNA", at positions 36 to 988 of the family's 1533-position model. The record is from RNAcentral. Lineage: Bacteria; Pseudomonadati; Pseudomonadota; Gammaproteobacteria; Pseudomonadales; Pseudomonadaceae.
CUUGGCGGCAGCUACCAUGCAAGUCGAGCGGAUGAGGGGAGCUUGCUCCUUGAUUCAGCGGCGGACGGGUGAGUAAUGCCUAGGAAUCUGCCUGGUAGUGGGGGACAACGUUUCGAAAGGAACGCUAAUACCGCAUACGUCCUACGGGAGAAAGUGGGGGAUCUUCGGACCUCACGCUAUCAGAUGAGCCUAGGUCGGAUUAGCUAGUUGGUGAGGUAAUGGCUCACCAAGGCGACGAUCCGUAACUGGUCUGAGAGGAUGAUCAGUCACACUGGAACUGAGACACGGUCCAGACUCCUACGGGAGGCAGCAGUGGGGAAUAUUGGACAAUGGGCGAAAGCCUGAUCCAGCCAUGCCGCGUGUGUGAAGAAGGUCUUCGGAUUGUAAAGCACUUUAAGUUGGGAGGAAGGGCAGUAAGUUAAUACCUUGCUGUUUUGACGUUACCGACAGAAUAAGCACCGGCUAACUCUGUGCCAGCAGCCGCGGUAAUACAGAGGGUGCAAGCGUUAAUCGGAAUUACUGGGCGUAAAGCGCGCGUAGGUGGUUCGUUAAGUUGGAUGUGAAAGCCCCGGGCUCAACCUGGGAACUGCAUCCAAAACUGGCGAGCUAGAGUACGGUAGAGGGUGGUGGAAUUUCCUGUGUAGCGGUGAAAUGCGUAGAUAUAGGAAGGAACACCAGUGGCGAAGGCGACCACCUGGACUGAUACUGACACUGAGGUGCGAAAGCGUGGGGAGCAAACAGGAUUAGAUACCCUGGUAGUCCACGCCGUAACGAUGUCAACUAGCCGUUGGAAUCCUUGAGAUUUUAGUGGCGCAGCUAACGCAUUAAGUUGACGCCUGGGAGUACGGCCGCAAGUAAACUCAAUGAAUUGACGGGGCCCGCCAGCGUGAGCAUGUGUGAAUCGAGCACGCGAGAACUUAUCCCAGGGCCUGUGUAC